CUUUGUGACUGGGGAACCUGAGAGCAACAGGAAUGGUGUGGCAGGAUCUGCUAUUGGCUGAGUUUGAUAGAUCAGAACAGUACAGCCAUGAACCAAACCAAUCAAGGUGGAGUACUGCAUUUAAUAAUAUUAGUUUAAGAAAACAAAGUCAAACCUGAGGUUUUUUUCUAUGUCCACAAAUCAAGUAUGAACAGCUGUGAUCUGACUGAAGG
This 212-nucleotide long non-coding RNA is filed under the name Gallus gallus (chicken). The record is from RNAcentral. Lineage: Eukaryota; Metazoa; Chordata; Aves; Galliformes; Phasianidae.